AUGAAAACUGAAAUUUUAUUUAUUUUUUUAUUUAUUGCAACCAGAGCAUUAUGUAGUAUUUCUAAAUGUGUCAAUUAUAUUAAGUCAUUAAAAAGGAUUAAACAAAAUUUACAAGAAGAAUAUUUUUUUAUAAAAAAUAAUUUUUUAAAUAACAAAAAAAACCAAAUAAAAAAAUGGAAAAUAAAAGAAAACUGCAAUAAUUAUAUAAAUUUAUAUACAAUUAAAAAACCUUUAAAAUGUAAAGUUAUAGAUAAAGUAAAGUUAGUACGAGAAAAAGCAUUACACGAAGUUUAUAAUUUGAUUAUAUAUCAUAAUGGUAUGUUUAAAUAUAUAGAAGGUCAAUCAUGUGGUAUUAUACCGUAUUACAAACAAAACAGUGACGACAUAGAUAUUAACACAACAAUACCAAGAGUUAAAAAUAUACAUACGGAUGAACAAAGUAAAAUAUGUAGUAAUGUUGAUAAUAGUAUAAAAUGUGAUAAUAGUAAUAGGGACGACAGUAAUAAAAUAAAUCCUUCUCUAAAAAAAGCAAGAUUGUAUUCUAUAUCUUCUUGUAAUAAUAGUCCUUAUCUAUCUAUAGCUGUUAAAAUACAUACGUAUGAACAGAAAAAUAUUGAUAAUGUUGUGGAGUUAAAAUAUGGUUGUUGUUCAGGAUUUGUAAAAAAAUUAAAAAAAAAUGAUAAUAUAUAUUUAACUGGAGCUUAUGGAAACUUUGUAUUACCAACUGAUUUUUUUGAAAAAAAUAAAAAUUUAAUUUUAGUAGCUACUGGAACAGGUAUAUCACCGUAUAUAGGUUUUUUAAAAAAAAUAUUAAAAAAAAAUGAUAGUAAUAAAAAUAUACAAAAAUAUAAUGGUACUAUAUAUUUAUUUUACGGUAUAUAUAACGAAGAUUCUAUUUUAUAUUUAGAUGAUUUGGAAUAUUUUAAAAAAAUAUAUCCUAACAAUUUACAUAUUUAUUAUAUUUUUUCUAUUAACAAAAAUAUAGAUGGUUCAUCAUAUUAUGUACAAGAUGAAGUAGUGAAAAAACAAAAGGAAAUAAUCCAUUUAUUUAAUAAACACGAAACUGAGAUGUAUAUAUGUGGACAUAAGGGAAUGAAAACAAAAAUUUUACAAAUGUUAAAAAAUUCAAAUGAUUUUGAUGCAAGUAAAAAAAAAAAUGUACACAUAGAAGUUUAUUAG
This 1179-nucleotide long non-coding RNA is filed under the name Piliocolobus tephrosceles (Ugandan red Colobus). Its description in RNAcentral is "lncRNA (ENSPTEG00000008821.1)". The record is from RNAcentral. Lineage: Eukaryota; Metazoa; Chordata; Mammalia; Primates; Cercopithecidae.